GAUGAACGCUAGCGGCAGGCUUAACACAUGCAAGUCGAGGGGCAGCGGGGAGUAGCAAUACUCUGCCGGCGACCGGCGAAAGGGUGCGUAACGCGUGAGCGACAUACCCGUGACUGGGGCAUAACCGAUGGAAGCGUUGACUAAUUCCCCAUAACACAUCGUGCUGCAUGGCAUGGUGUUGAAAAUUUCGAUGGUCACGGACUGGCUCGCGUCUGAUUAGCUAGUUGGUGGGGUAACGGCUCACCAAGGCGACGAUCAGUAGGGGUUCUGAGAGGAAGGUCCCCCACAAUGGAACUGAGACACGGUCCAUACUCCUACGGGAGGCAGCAGUGGGGGAUAUUGCACAAUGGAGGAAACUCUGAUGCAGCGACGCCGCGUGAGUGAAGAAGUAUUUCGGUAUGUAAAGCUCUAUCAGCAGGGAAGAUAAUGACAGUACCUGACUAAGAAGCCCCGGCUAACUACGUG
RNAcentral lists this ribosomal RNA (465 nucleotides) under uncultured bacterium. RNAcentral describes it as "bacterial SSU rRNA". It matches the Rfam family "Bacterial small subunit ribosomal RNA", at positions 28 to 507 of the family's 1533-position model. The record is from RNAcentral.